CCCGCGCCAUUGCUACGAGCGGUCGGUGUUUGUUUAUACAAUUGAGUAUUUGAAUAAAAAAAAAUUAUUGAUUUUUUUCAUGUAUUUUAAAACUUUAUUAUUAAUAAUAUUGAUAUUUAAUGCAAAAAACUCAAAAAAAAAUGUUUUUCAAUUAAUUAUAAGCAAUAAACGCGCCAUGACUGGUCACCAUAGAUGUGACGUCAAAAUGUUAUAGUUGUAUACGUUUUUGUAUCAACUGCAAUGAGUGAAAACUAACAUUAUGACGUCACACGCGUCCGGGUGACGCUUCGGGAGUUGUUGGUAUGUUUUCGGUACUGGAUUCAAAGACUAAUUUUUAUUUUGAAAUAACUUUUGAAUUAUUGCAAAAAAAAUUUAAAAAAAUAGUUUUGUUAUAAAACUAAUAUAUAAUCUUUCCAUUUAGCACAAAAAAAAAAUUUUAUUCAAGUACUCAAUUGUAUGGUUACGGGCUGCACUGCAAAAUGUCUAAGCGUGCCAGAAGAAUUUAUUGUCAAGUAAAUGGUUGUUCAAACGACUCUAUUUCAAACCCAGAAAUGUCGUUCUUUACGAUACCCUCUGAACAAGAAAGACGUUUAAAAUGGCUUCAUCUCAUCGACCGCAAGGAAUUGAUAGGAAAAAAGAUAGAAUCUCAUCGUAUAUGUGAAGUUCAUUUUA
Molecule: long non-coding RNA, 672 nt
Organism: Colias croceus (clouded yellow)
Lineage: Eukaryota; Metazoa; Arthropoda; Insecta; Lepidoptera; Pieridae
Exons: 2
Source: RefSeq, a predicted model, not a curated record